Long non-coding RNA from Oreochromis niloticus (Nile tilapia), 1118 nucleotides. RefSeq lists it as uncharacterized. Lineage: Eukaryota; Metazoa; Chordata; Actinopteri; Cichliformes; Cichlidae. The record is from RefSeq and is a predicted model, not a curated record. The transcript has 4 exons.
ACGACAACUCAGAAACAGUGCUGAGCCAUGGAAGUUAGAUCCUGCCGAACAAAGUCCUCCGGAUAGCUUACUUAUUGCAGACGCUGCUCAGAUCAGAGGCCUUCAUCCUCAGUGUUUCAAACAAGCUCUUCAUUUAUUUUCUCUGUCAUGCCCACAUGCUGUCUGAAGCUGCAUUAGAGAAAGGUAUUUUCAGAGCGAACACUCAGCUGUAUGAGGAAACAGCAGGGGAGAGAACUUCUGAGGAACCUUAAUGAGGGGAUUUCAGUGGAUUCUGUGCUGCAGUUGAACCCAAAAAUUAAUUCGGACAAGCGGCGAGAAGCAGUGGAUGUAAGCAAACCUCCUGGAGCAAUAAGAUCUGCCUGAUGGGGCUCCUCCAGAACCAGAACCAGUCUCUGGUCUUGUCUCAACCAGAGGUCAUCCACUUGGAGUCCACAGCACAACAAUCAGCUGUAAACAACAUUGUCAUCGUGCUGUGUGUGUUGAUCUUCAUCCUCCAGCUGUGUUUAGCUCUGUUCUUCAUGCUGAGAUGUUGUAGGUAUGACAACAGAAUACGAGAGGCUCUCAAACAGCCGGCCGCUGUUAAAAAAAUCCUUGGCAUUUAUAAAGAGUCCAGGGAUCAACUUUAUGAUGCUGCUGGUUCUUCAUCACCUGCCAUGUCAGCAGUGGAGGAAAGUUAUGAGGAGCCCACAGCUUCUUUGCGUGCACCGCACAUAUACUGGGACCUUGUUCAGUAGUCACGUGUCUAACAGUUCAACCAGGCUCUAAACAGUGUUAAUGAAACUGUAAAUGUCCGUUUAAUCUAUUAAAUAUGUAAAGUAUGGAAAUGUUUUGUUUUUAGAGUAUUAAAGGAAUACAAGCAACUGAUGUUACUGUGUAAUGUGAAAAUCUUUGAUAUUGGAACAAAGAUUCAUUUUUGCUUCACCUCAGCUCUGUGUUGAGAUGUUUUAGUGUCUUCAGCUAUUGGCUGCUGAUUCACUCAUUUUCAGUCCAGUCCUUAUACCUGAUGAUUUUUAGGGGAAUUAUCUUUUUUGUUCAUUUCUGUAUAUUGAUUUUCAGUUAAUUUGAUCAUGUAAACAAUAUACAGAGAGUCAUUUAGGGAAAAAUAAAAAACAAAUAAA